Rhagoletis pomonella (apple maggot) is the source of this 511-nucleotide long non-coding RNA. RefSeq lists it as uncharacterized. Lineage: Eukaryota; Metazoa; Arthropoda; Insecta; Diptera; Tephritidae. The transcript is spliced from 2 exons. The record is from RefSeq and is a predicted model, not a curated record.
CGUUAACGAGCGACCGAGAGUAAAACACGAAUUUCUUUGCCAUCAUUAGCUUUGUUCCACACGCUUUCCGGGCUGUUACGCUUUUUAACAGUACGCCGCCUAAAAUGCUACAUCAAAAAAAAUCGUGCAAAAAAAAAAUGUUUGCGUUUAUUUAUUUUUAAAAAAUACAAAAACUAGAGUCUGGCAAGCCUGAUUCUCUCACCGCUCUCAAUUUCGGAAAGGCCGUAACUUAAGAACCUAAAAUCUACAAGUUCUUAAGUUUCUUACGGUAAGUUCUAACUAACCGCCAACAUGGUUUCUCAUAUAACAGGUUGGCCAAAAUAUUAAGUUAAGUUAAGUUACCGAAGUUAAGUGCAAACUAACUGAGCUUUCAGAAAUGUAUCAACACGUGCCAAAACUGUGUGAGGAAGGCAAAAACUACAUUUCGUGCCCGGAAUCAACAAAUCAGCUCUAAAUAACGAUUUUAUGUGUAUUAAUCUUAUAUGGCUAAUAAAAUGAGCAAAUAACUACA